RNAcentral lists this ribosomal RNA (674 nucleotides) under Scolecobasidium mirabile. RNAcentral describes it as "eukaryotic LSU rRNA". The stretch from base 297 to 449 matches the Rfam family "5.8S ribosomal RNA". The record is from RNAcentral. Lineage: Eukaryota; Fungi; Ascomycota; Dothideomycetes; Venturiales; Sympoventuriaceae.
AUCAUUACUAGAGUGGCUGUAUUCUGUGCUUCUCUUCGGAGACGCGAAGCUACCCGACCUGAUGUCAUUUUAUCCCGAGGGCGCGCCCGCUUGAGAAGACAGCGGUUUGACGUUGUGGUGUUACCCGGACGAGGCGCUUGUCUCGUAAGGGGAAGCUUCCGGGUCGGGCCGUGGCGCGUCCUUGGCACAACUUUCCGCGGAAGUGGUAGGCGUUGACUUGCCCGCCGCGGGCCAUACUUUUCACAACUCUCGAAGAAAACCUGAAGUCUGAAUACCAAAACAAAAACGAAAAGCAAAACUUUCAACAACGGAUCUCUUGGCUCUGGCAACGAUGAAGAACGCAGCGAAACGCGAAAGGUAAUGCGAAUUGCAGAAUCAGUGAGUCAUCGAAUCUUUGAACGCACAUUGCGCCUCUCGGUAUUCCGGGAGGCACGCCUGUUCGAGCGCCAUUACAAACUCCAAGCGUGGCUUGAUGUUGGGCGAUGUCUUUUUGCGAGAGCGGGAGACACGCCUGGAACGCGUUGGCGCCGCCGCCGGACCACGAGCGUAGCAAGACGAGAGUCAAUCGCAUCGAUUUGGUUUCCGACGGAGGUCCGCCUUGUGACUGCACUUUCGAGUGUAGUUGAAAAACUUCUCAAGUUUGGCCUCGGAUCAGGCGGGAUACCCGCUGACAU